Non-coding RNA from Pangasius djambal, 73 nucleotides. Lineage: Eukaryota; Metazoa; Chordata; Actinopteri; Siluriformes; Pangasiidae. The record is from the annotation of a GenBank genome assembly.
UCCCUGGUGGUCUAGUGGUUAAGGACCCUGCACUCUCACUGGUGCGGCCCGGGUUUGAUUCCCAGGCAGGAAA